GAUGAACGCUGGCGGCGUGCCUAACACACGCAAGUCGAGCGAUUUACUUCGGUAAAGAGCGGCGGACGGGUGAGUAACGCGUGGGUAACCUGCCCUGUACACACGGAUAACAUACUGAAAGGUAUGCUAAUACGGGAUAACAUAAGAGAGUCGCAUGGCUUUCUUAUCAAAGCUUUUGCGGUACAGGAUGGACCCGCGUCUGAUUAGCUAGUUGGUAAGGUAACGGCUUACCAAGGCGACGAUCAGUAGCCGACCUGAGAGGGUGAUCGGCCACAUUGGAACUGAGACACGGUCCAAACUCCUACGGGAGGCAGCAGUGGGAAUAUUGCACAAUGGGCGAAAGCCUGAUGCAGCAACGCCGCGUGAGCGAUGAAGGCCUUCGGGUCGUAAAGCUCUGUCCUCAAGGAAGAUAAUGACGGUACUUGAGGAGGAAGCCCCGGCUAACUACGUGCCAGCCGCCGCGGUAA
This 467-nucleotide ribosomal RNA is filed under the name uncultured bacterium. Its description in RNAcentral is "partial 16S ribosomal RNA". It matches the Rfam family "Bacterial small subunit ribosomal RNA", at positions 28 to 523 of the family's 1533-position model. The record is from RNAcentral.